This 497-nucleotide ribosomal RNA is filed under the name uncultured bacterium. Its description in RNAcentral is "partial 16S ribosomal RNA". It matches the Rfam family "Bacterial small subunit ribosomal RNA", at positions 28 to 507 of the family's 1533-position model. The record is from RNAcentral.
GAUGAACGCUGGCGGCGUGCCUAAUACAUGCAAGUCGAGCGAACAGACGAGGAGCUUGCUCCUCUGACGUUAGCGGCGGACGGGUGAGUAAAACGUGGAUAACCUACCUAUAAGACUGGGAUAACUUCGGGAAACCGGAGCUAAUACCGGAUAAUAUAUUGAACCGCAUGGUUCAAUAGUGAAAGACGGUUUUGCUGUCACUUAUAGAUGGAUCCGCGCCGCAUUAGCUAGUUGGUAAGGUAACGGCUUACCAAGGCAACGAUGCGUAGCCGACCUGAGAGGGUGAGCGGCCACACUGGAACUGAGACACGGUCCAGACUCCUACGGGAGGCAGCAGUAGGGAAUCUUCCGCAAUGGGCGAAAGCCUGACGGAGCAACGCCGCGUAAGUGAUGAAGGAUUUCGGAUCGUAAAACUCUGUUACUAGGGAAGAACAAAUGUGUAAGUAACUAUGCACGUCUUGACGGUACCUAAUCAGAAAGCCACGGCUAACUACGUG